AUUGAACGCUGGCGGCAGGCCUAACACAUGCAAGUCGAACGGUAACACGAAGAAGCUUUGUUCUUAGCGGAGGCGUGGCGCAGGCGGGAGUAAAGUACGUCAGACUCUCCGAUGUCGGGGGGUAACUAGUGGAGACGGUAACGAAUAUAGCAUAACGUCGCUACGGCUGAGAGGAGGGGAUUCUCGCACCUUGCCCGCUGGAAUGACCAGAUGGGAUUAGCUAGUAGGUGGGGUAAAGGCCCACCAAGGCGACGAUCCGUAGCUGGUCUGAGAGGAUGAUCAGCCACACUGGAACUGAGACACGGUCCAGACUCCUACGGGAGGCAGCAGUGGGGAAUAUUGGACAAUGGGCGCAAGCCUGAUCCAGCCAUACCGCGUGGGUGAAGAAGGCCUUCGGGUUGUAAAGCCCUUUUGUUGGGAAAGAAAAGCAGCAGGUUAAUACCCCGCUGUUCUGACGGUACCCAAAGAAUAAGCACCGGCUAACUUCGUG
Molecule: ribosomal RNA, 490 nt
Filed under: uncultured bacterium
Lineage: Bacteria
Description: partial 16S ribosomal RNA
Rfam family: Bacterial small subunit ribosomal RNA
Source: RNAcentral